RNAcentral lists this ribosomal RNA (253 nucleotides) under uncultured bacterium. RNAcentral's name for it is "partial 16S ribosomal RNA". It matches the Rfam family "Bacterial small subunit ribosomal RNA", at positions 524 to 776 of the family's 1533-position model. The record is from RNAcentral.
UACGGAGGGUGCGAGCGUUGUCCGGAAUCAUUGGGCGUAAAGGGCGCGUAGGUGGCCCGGUCAGCGUGCGGUGAAAGCUCGGGGCUCAACCCCGAGUCGGCCGUGCGAACUGCUGGGCUGGGGCACUGUAGAGGCAGGCGGAAUUCCGGGUGUAGCGGUGGAAUGCGUAGAGAUCCGGAAGAACACCGGUGGCGAAGGCGGCCUGCUGGGCAGUGGCUGACACUGAGGCGCGACAGCGUGGGGAGCAAACAGG